GCCCUCGUAGUUUAAUGGACAAAAUGCUAGAUUGCGGAUCUGGAGACUGCAGGUUCGAUUCCUGCCGAGGGCA
This 73-nucleotide transfer RNA is filed under the name bacterium. RNAcentral describes it as "tRNA-Arg". It matches the Rfam family "tRNA". Rfam says of the family: Transfer RNA (tRNA) molecules are approximately 80 nucleotides in length. Their secondary structure includes four short double-helical elements and three loops (D, anti-codon, and T loops). Further hydrogen bonds mediate the characteristic L-shaped molecular structure. tRNAs have two regions of fundamental functional importance: the anti-codon, which is responsible for specific mRNA codon recognition, and the 3' end, to which the tRNAs corresponding amino acid is attached (by aminoacyl-tRNA synthetases). tRNAs cope with the degeneracy of the genetic code in two manners: having more than one tRNA (with a specific anti-codon) for a particular amino acid; and 'wobble' base-pairing, i.e. permitting non-standard base-pairing at the 3rd anti-codon position. The record is from RNAcentral.